RNAcentral lists this ribosomal RNA (497 nucleotides) under uncultured bacterium. RNAcentral's name for it is "partial 16S ribosomal RNA". It matches the Rfam family "Bacterial small subunit ribosomal RNA", at positions 28 to 507 of the family's 1533-position model. The record is from RNAcentral.
GAUGAACGCUGGCGGCGUGCCUAAUACAUGCAAGUCGAGCGAACGGACGAGAAGCUUGCUUCUCUGAUGUUAGCGGCGGACGGGUGAGUAACACGUGGAUAACCUACCUAUAAGACCGGGAUAACUUCGGGAAACCGGAGCUAAUACCGGAUGAUAUUCUGAACCGCAUGGUUCAAAAGUGAAAGACGGUCUUGCUGUCACUUAUAGAUGGAUCCGCGCUGCAUUAGCUAGUUGGUAAGGUAACGGCUUACCAAGGCAACGAUGCAUAGCCGACCUGAGAGGGUGAUCGGCCACACUGGAACUGAGACACGGUCCAGACUCCUACGGGAGGCAGCAGUAGGGAAUCUUCCGCAAUGGGCGAAAGCCUGACGGAGCAACGCCGCGUGAGUGAUGAAGGUCUUCGGAUCGUAAAACUCUGUUAUUAGGGAAGAACAUAUGUGUAAGUAACUGUGCACAUCUUGACGGUACCUAAUCAGAAAGCCACGGCUAACUACGUG